Molecule: non-coding RNA, 104 nt
Organism: Stereum hirsutum FP-91666 SS1
Lineage: Eukaryota; Fungi; Basidiomycota; Agaricomycetes; Russulales; Stereaceae
Source: the annotation of a RefSeq genome assembly
AGCUCGAUAGCUCAGCGGUAGUGCGUCUCUCCCACUUUGCAUCGCGUCCUAGUUGUCUUAUAUGGGUGGAGAGAAAGAUCUCGGUUCGUCUCCGAGUCGAGCUA